GGAGUCAUAGCUCAGUGGUAGAGCAGCGGACUGCAGUUCCGAAGGUCACGAGUUCGACUCUCGUUGACUCCU
RNAcentral lists this transfer RNA (72 nucleotides) under Eutypa lata UCREL1. Its description in RNAcentral is "tRNA-Cys (GCA) (tRNA-Cys-GCA-1-1)". It matches the Rfam family "tRNA". Rfam says of the family: Transfer RNA (tRNA) molecules are approximately 80 nucleotides in length. Their secondary structure includes four short double-helical elements and three loops (D, anti-codon, and T loops). The record is from RNAcentral. Lineage: Eukaryota; Fungi; Ascomycota; Sordariomycetes; Xylariales; Diatrypaceae.